RNAcentral lists this ribosomal RNA (460 nucleotides) under uncultured bacterium. RNAcentral describes it as "partial 16S ribosomal RNA". It matches the Rfam family "Bacterial small subunit ribosomal RNA", at positions 338 to 795 of the family's 1533-position model. The record is from RNAcentral.
CCUACGGGGGGCAGCAGUGAGGAAUAUUGGUCAAUGGACGAGAGUCUGAACCAGCCAAGUCGCGUGAAGGAUGACUGCCCUAUGGGUUGUAAACUUCUUUUAUAUGGGAAUAAAACGUUCCACGUGUGGGAUUUUGUAUGUACCCUAUGAAUAAGGAUCGGCUAACUCCGUGCCAGCAGCCGCGGUAAUACGGAGGAUCCGAGCGUUAUCCGGAUUUAUUGGGUUUAAAGGGAGCGUAGGUGGAUUGUUAAGUCAGUUGUGAAAGUUUGCGGCUCAACCGUAAAAUUGCAGUUGAAACUGGCAGUCUUGAGUACAGUAGAGGUGGGCGGAAUUCGUGGUGUAGCGGUGAAAUGCUUAGAUAUCACGAAGAACUCCGAUUGCGAAGGCAGUUCACUGGACUGCAACUGACACUGAGGCUCGAAAGUGUGGGUAUCAAACAGGAUUAGAUACCCGAGUAGUC